Molecule: ribosomal RNA, 464 nt
Filed under: uncultured bacterium
Lineage: Bacteria
Description: SSU rRNA
Rfam family: Bacterial small subunit ribosomal RNA
Source: RNAcentral
AGGAUUAACGCUGGCGGCGUGCCUGACACAUGCAAGUCGAACGAGGCCGCAAGGCCGAGUGGCGGACGGGUGAGUAACACGUGACCAACCAACCUCGAAGUUGGGAAUAGCUCUGCGAAAGUAGGGGUAAUACCGAAUGUGGCCCAGGGCGGGCAUCCGCCUUGGUCUAAAGAUUCAUCGCUUCGAGACGGGGUCGCGGCCUAUUAGCUUGUUGGUGAGGUAACGGCUCACCAAGGCGAUGAUGGGUAGCUGGUCUGAGAGGACGACCAGCCACACUGGGACUGAGACACGGCCCAGACUCCUACGGGAGGCAGCAGUGAGGAAUCUUCCGCAAUGGGCGAAAGCCUGACGGAGCAACGCCGCGUGUGGGAUGAAGACUCUAGGGUUGUAAACCACUGUCGGAGGGGACGAUCGUGACGGUACCCUCCAAGAAAGCCCCGGCUAACCUACGUGCCAGCAGCCGC